GAUGAACGCUGGCGGCGUGCCUAAUACAUGCAAGUCGAGCGAACAGACGAGGAUCUUGCUCCUCUGACGUUAGCGGCGGACGUGUGAGUAACACGUGGAUAACCUACCUAUAAGACUGGGAUAACUUCGGGAAACCGGAGCUAAUACCGGAUAAUAUAUUGAACCGCAUGGUUCAAUAGUUAAAGACGGUUUUGCUGUCACUUAUAGAUGUAUCCGCGCGGCAUUAGCUAGUUGGUAAGGUAACGGCUUACCAUGGCAACGAUGCGUAGCCGACCUGAGAGGGUGAUCGGCCACACUGGAACUGAGACACGGUCCAGACUCCUACGGGAGGCAGCAGUAGGGAAUCUUCCGAAAUGGGCGAAAGCCUGACGGAGCAACGCCGCGUGAGUGAUGAAGGUCUUCGGAUCGUAAAACUCUGUUAUUAGGGAAGAACAAAUGUGUAAGUAACUAUGCACGUCUUGACGGUACCUAAUCAGAAAGCAACGGCUAACUACGUG
Molecule: ribosomal RNA, 497 nt
Filed under: uncultured bacterium
Lineage: Bacteria
Description: partial 16S ribosomal RNA
Rfam family: Bacterial small subunit ribosomal RNA
Source: RNAcentral